Equus caballus (horse) is the source of this 4748-nucleotide non-coding RNA. The record is from RefSeq and is a predicted model, not a curated record. NCBI's taxonomy places the organism in Eukaryota, Metazoa, Chordata, Mammalia, Perissodactyla, Equidae.
GUGCACAUACAUGUCAUCACAAGGUCCUGCUGUAAUAGGUGCUCUCUCUGAUAUGUUUUGACUUUCAUUUUUUGCUUUUAUUUGAAGUGUAGGUUUUCAUUGUCUCUUUAUGCAGAGUUUCAUCAGCAUGAAUUGAAGAUGCUUGUUGGAAAGGCCACAGUUACUGGGCCAGCAUGAGUGAUUUCAAUCCUGGCUAGAUUGUGCUUCCUUAGGGUGAUGCCUGCCGUCAUGUCUGGCAUCAUGGAGUCCAAGCCUCCUUGCUGUUUCCCCUCAAGAAAGGCAGUGGAAGUUCACAGGCACCAAAGGACCUUUUCAAAGACACAAGACUUUGGGUGGAGCCAGGGGUACAAUGUGGCACAGUGUGUAUUCACACAACAAAUGGAGGGCUUUUCUUGAGAUUUCAAGAACAGAAGGUGCAGACAGACACAAUAGUCUCUCAGCCACGCUUUAAUGAGCCAAGGCCCUUGGCUGGCUUGAUGCUCAGUAACAGGACGUCUGUGCAGUGAGAAUACAAGCAAAGGAUGCUCAGGCUGUGCUUGGCCAGGUGUCUCCAAAGGCAGAGAAACAUGACUCAUGACACUUGAGCUAAGUUGACACUGCUGCCAUCACCCUGGGAAAGCAAUUUGUGGGCAGAGAUCUAGGCUGUUUAUAAAAAUGACAUGAGCAGCAGCUCCAACCUCAGGAGGCUUCGUAGGGAAAGAUAAAGAGGAGGAUUACAGAAGCUAAAGCUUUUGUUUAAAGAGAGAUUACAAAGCAUUUAGUUUGGAUCAAGUCAGCCUAAAGCUUACUUGCUAAAAUGUGCCCCUUUGCUCGGCUCUGCGAUGAAUUUUGCUCUUAAACUUCGUGCUCAGAUGGAAAGACGAAGAUGAGGCUUUAUUUGGAAUGAUCACAGAUGAGGCUGUUUUUCUCUCUCUCUUCUAUUAAUAUGAAUUCAGGAAACAUGAGGAUUAGAAGAGAUUCUAAUCAAUUGCCCAACAUUAGUUUUUCUAGUAACAAGGGCAAAUGUGCUUUCUAAGUACUUGAAUGUGAAAAGGAAAUCACGCAGCAGAAAUGGAUACAAGGUCAACACCUACAGAGAUUUUCAUGAAGUUAUGGUUUCUGUGUUGGAAAUUGUCUAAAAUAUAGACUGCCCAUGUUGGGAGAGUAAAAAAAUAGGUUUAAAAACAUUCCUUCUAUUUCCACCUUCUGAGACUGAAUUGGAUUGACUGCAUGGCUGAUCCAGUGACUGCAAAAACCUACAUAUUUAGGUAACUUUAAAAACGAAUUGACCAAAACUCAGCCAAUAUGUCAACUUUUUGUAGAUUUGGCCUUUGUUCAGCUGGGGAUCAUUCCUGGUCUUCUGUGUGUCAGGGAGAUUUUUCUGCUUCAACGAAUCUUUCCUUUUCUUUUGAAAUUAAAAUCUGAAGAAAAAUGAUAGAAUUCCAAAGGGAUCAUAUUCCAAAUUAGAUGUAUCUGAUUUAUUAAUUAAUUCAUUAAUACAGUAGCGAUUCAUGGAGCAGCUACUAGAUGCCUGGCUCUAUUCUGAGCGUUGGAAAUCCAGUGAUGAGUAAGACAAAUUCUCUGUGCUCAAGUUACAGGAGGAGAGACAGAAACUAAGUAGUUAAACGGAGAAGUAUAUACGAGAAUAUAAUUUCAGAUCAUGACACAUUCUUCUAUUCCCAAGAUCUGGACAGCCAAGGAAACAAGCAAUUCUUCUAUGGCAUCAAGUCUAUGGUGCUUACCUUACUUGAGUCGCGGAAUUUUGUGCCCUAACAACUGUCCUGUGAAUUCCCUAAAGAUGGAAGACAAGCAGUUUAAUUUCACAAGUAGUCAUUGAGCUCCUGUUAUGUUCUCAGCACAGCAGUAGACAGAAAUGAUAAUGAGGGGCGUAAACCUCAGUCUCAGCCUUUAAAGAAUUCCUGAUCUAGCACAGAUCCUGGGCUUCAGACAGAGAGACUGCUGGGGGAUGUGCAAGGUGGAAAGCCGUGUUUGUGAUUCAACCCCCUCACUCUGAAGUAGAGAGCUAAAGCUAAGAGCACAUUGACUGACGACGGGAUUUAGAAGCAUCUGCUAUCUACCAAGCCAAGAUGGGGAAACGCCCACAGGGAUGAGAGGAAGGAAUUCAUAGCAUGUACAGUGAAUCGUGUUGUUGUCUAAUACUAUGCUGCUAGGAGAUGGAGUAUUUGGUUCUGUGGAGCAUGCAGCAGUCCCACUGGAAUUCUAACAUAGGCCAGGUUACAUGAAUAAGAAAGAUGGACUUUAAUGAAGAUUAUUCCCUUUGAUGUAAGAGAGACCCAUGAAAGCAUCCAAACAAAAGAAAGGAAGAAGCAAGGAUUAAGACAGUCAACUCUCCCUUAGCCACAAGCCUGAAGAAAGAGCAGGGCCUGUUUCUCUGUCGUUGUGACCACGCCAGGCCUCGUGCAGGGCCCGACCUGUGGAAGUGACUCAGGAACUGCCAGUUUUAAGUGUCCCUUUUGUGAAACUGUAACACUCAUUUCGUCUAACUUCUGCUUUACAGCCUGGCACUAAGAUGCCAAAGUUUUUCUAGUUUUAGCUCAUAAUCGACUUCUCUAUGACUCAGGUCUCUCUCGUAGAAAAGAUAAUGCUGCCAGUGGCAGUUGCCUCACAGGCUCUGUAUCACCACUCCUACCCCCCUACAAACACUCAAAUUGGCUCCAGACUGGUUCUGGAUUAGUUAAUUCCUAAGCUCUUUCUGUGUUUUCCUGUAUUUGAAGAGCACAUGUCAGAGAGUUUGGUCCUCACAUACACGUUUCCAAAGCAGUAACAGCAGCUCAGUUCUAGGACGUUGGUCCUGCUGAAACCCAGGGAGGGAAAGGGAGAACUUUCUCUAGGGGGCAGUUUUCAUAGGCCCCUUAAAUUCCAUAGCAAGGGCUCUGUUAACAGACACUGAGGCAUAGGAGUAAGAAUGUCUGCUAGCAUGAGGGUAUGGGAAUAUGCUUCUAGAAAGAGUCAUACUCAGUAGAGGACCAGGGUGCCAGGGACACAGGAAUCAAAGGAGAAAUGGAAAUCAGGAACGUUUAAAUACAUUGAAUGGGAAACAAUGAUACCUCGGAAAAGACUUGAUGAUUGGACUGCUACCGUUGCAAAUUUCUAAACUCUAGAACACAUGCUAUGUCAAAUGGCGCUUUCUGGGAUGGGAGAUAGAACUCAUAGGUGGAGUUCCCUCUCAGAUAUGAUAGAAGUACUGUGCCCAAAUUAACUGUUGUUUAAAAAGACCUCUCAACAGAGUUUAAAUUUGCAGGUGAUGGUUUUCUUGAGCAGGCAUGGCCUGAUUGACCUCCUUUGGAGGCGGAAUCAAAAUUUCGCCCAUAUACCCCCUUCUCUCAGAUAUCAUUGACUCUUUGCUGUAUUCUUCGGCAGCCCUAAGUUCUGGGUUUCUUUGCCUGAGAUGAGGGCUUGAGGACUGGGAAUUACCUUCGCUUCUACAUUGUUAGGUUUACAGCAUACUGGAGUAAUCUCUUAUGUUCUAAUAAAUGUUUGAACUCUUUAAAAAGUGAGGUACAUGACGGACUUGAUGUGGAACUAAUUCAGCUUCUGUGGUCCAAAGGAGCCACCUAUAUUCCAGUGAUGGACAACACAGGCUGUGGUUGCUAAAGGAACCAAAUUCUAUUCAGGCAUUGAGAAAACAUCUUCAACUAAGGGAAAGCAGAAUACAAAAAGGACUUCACUUUCUUUGGGCUUUUCGUACCCGAGGACAAGAAUAUUUGAUUUUGGAGUUGAAUUACUUUGAAUUUUGAUGUAUUUGAACUUGACUUUCCAGACAAUCUAAUCUAUGGACUUUAUCCCAAAAAAUUUUAUCCUGGAAGGGAGUUUAUAUUCCGAUAUUGGGAAUUUUAUUAUUGGAUUAAUUUGAAAUUUCCUGGUGAGUUAUAUUAGGCAGUGUGCUUGAACAGAAAUCAGGAUGGGGAAAACAUAGGCAGGCAAAUAUCGGUUGGCUACAGUGGUCUUAAAAUUAAUUUAAUUAAUGACCUGUUUCAGUGGGGAAACAUCUACACUGUCAUCAGCAACCUCAGUAGAGUCCUCAAUGCAGGAGGGAUUGGUAUGGGGGAGAACUUUAUAAAAAUAGAAUUAGACGACCCUAAUGGGCUGCCCAAAUUCUCCCUCAAGGAGAUAACCAUACCAUUUUGACCAUAUAUUUAAAGUUAAACCAAAUGAGUUAAGAGAACCAAGGUCUUGGGAGUAUUGAUUGGAAAGCAUCCGUUAUCCUGGUUCAUGUUCCCAAGGGAAGCAACAUCCAUCAGCAUAACCUCUUGGCUCCUCUCCUCUCAUCUUACUCACUCCCUUUCAAGGCAGGUGGAAUGAAUGAUCAAGUUGGGGAGACAGGGAGAAGAACCAGGGAUGCUCAGUCCUUUCUUUGCUCUCCUUUUGGGCUCUUUCUGCCUUCAGAGAGCCUACGUUCUUCUCUGCUCUUGGCCAUGAGCUAAGCUUAGUGCUUGAAGCUUCUCUUGGGGAGGACUACAGUUUUGUCAUGCUAUUCAAGAUUGAGGUGCAGUAUUAUGAAAUCUGUUGUUGCUUUUCACUUAAACCACAAUCUCUGUCACUUCUAUAAUUGAAAAAGUUGACGUUUUGAACUCUCUCUGCCUUGUCAUAGAUGCUGGAAAGACUUCUAUUUAUAUGCUAGAUAGUCUUUGUCAAACUACUUAACCUAUUUCUCAAUUUCCUCUUGUGUAAAAUGGGGGAAAACCUGUAUCUACUUUUACAAGAUUGUUAUAUGUUAAAAGAGUUAAUGGAAAGUGCUUAGGAAAGUA